Molecule: long non-coding RNA, 464 nt
Filed under: Numida meleagris (helmeted guineafowl)
Lineage: Eukaryota; Metazoa; Chordata; Aves; Galliformes; Numididae
Description: lncRNA (ENSNMEG00000003833.1)
Source: RNAcentral
AUUGUCACCGUCACUGGGGCUGUCACUGUCACGGGGAUUGUCACCACUGCUAGGUUUGUCACCGUCACUGGGAUUGUCACCAUCGCUGGGUUUGUCACCUUGCUGAGUUUGUCACCAUUACCACUGUCACCGUCACUGGGGCUGUCACCGUCACCGGGAUUGUCACCAUUCCUGGGAUUGCCGCUGUCACCGGGAUUGUCACCAUUACUGGGAUUGUCACACUGCUGGGUUUGUCACCGUCACCGCUGUCACCGUCACUGGGGCUGUCACCAUUCCUGGGAUUGUCGCUGUCACCGUCACCAGGAUUGUCACCAUUCCUGGGAUUGCCACUGUCACCAGGAUUGUCACUGUCACUGGGGCUGUCACCGUUCCUGGGAUUGCCGCUGUCACCAGGAUUGUCACUGUCACCGCUGUCACCGUCACUGGGGCUGUCACUGCCACCAGGACUGUCACCACUAGGUUUG